UACGUAGGUGGCAAGCGUUGUUCGGAAUUAUUGGGCGUAAAGAGCUCGUAGGUGGCUUGUCGCGUCUGCCGUGAAAGCCCAUGGCUUAACUGUGGGUCUGCGGUGGAUACGGGCAGGCUGGAGGCUGGUAGGGGCAAGCGGAAUUCCUGGUGUAGCGGUGAAAUGCGCAGAUAUCAGGAGGAACACCGGUGGCGAAGGCGGCUUGCUGGGCCAGUUCUGACGCUGAGGAGCGAAAGCGUGGGGAGCGAACAGG
Molecule: ribosomal RNA, 253 nt
Filed under: uncultured bacterium
Lineage: Bacteria
Description: partial 16S ribosomal RNA
Rfam family: Bacterial small subunit ribosomal RNA
Source: RNAcentral